Molecule: ribosomal RNA, 736 nt
Filed under: uncultured Acidobacteriota bacterium
Lineage: Bacteria; Pseudomonadati; Acidobacteriota
Description: bacterial SSU rRNA
Rfam family: Bacterial small subunit ribosomal RNA
Source: RNAcentral
GCGAGGCCGGGGGGCAACCCCCGAGUCGAGCGGCGAACGGGUGAGUAACGCGUGGGUGACCUACCUCUGGGUGGGGGAUAACCCGGGGAAACUCGGGCUAAUACCGCAUGACAUCCAAGGAUCAAAGGGGGCCGCAAGACUCUCGCCAGGAGAGGGACCCGCGUACGAUUAGCUAGUUGGUAGGGUAACGGCCUACCAAGGCGACGAUCGUUAGCCGGCCUGAGAGGGUGAUCGGCCACACUGGAACUGAGACACGGUCCAGACUCCUACGGGAGGCAGCAGUGGGGAAUUUUGCGCAAUGGGCGAAAGCCUGACGCAGCAACGCCGCGUGGAGGAUGAAGGUCUUCGGAUCGUAAACUCCUGUCAGCAGGGACGAAAUACGCCGGGUUCAUACCCCGGCGGGUUGACGGUACCUGCAGAGGAAGCCCCGGCUAACUCUGUGCCAGCAGCCGCGGUAAUACAGAGGGGGCAAGCGUUAUUCGGAAUUAUUGGGCGUAAAGGGCGCGUAGGCGGCUUAGCAAGUGGAUGGUGAAAUCCCUCGGCUCAACCGAGGAACUGCCGUCCAAACUGCGUGGCUUGAGUCCGGGAGAGGUGAGUGGAAUUCCCAGUGUAGCGGUGAAAUGCGUAGAUAUUGGGAGGAACACCAGUGGCGAAGGCGGCUCACUGGACCGGAACUGACGCUGAGGCGCGAAAGCGUGGGGAGCAAACGGGAUUAGAUACCCCGGUAGUCCACGCC